Molecule: ribosomal RNA, 301 nt
Filed under: uncultured bacterium
Lineage: Bacteria
Description: partial 16S ribosomal RNA
Rfam family: Bacterial small subunit ribosomal RNA
Source: RNAcentral
CAGUCGCCGCGGGAAUACGUAGGUGGCAAGCGUUGUCCGGAAUUAUUGGGCGUAAAGGGCUCGCAGGCGGUUUCUUAAGUCUGAUGUGAAAGCCCCCGGCUCAACCGGGGAGGGUCAUUGGAAACUGGGAAACUUGAGUGCAGGAGAGGAGGGUGGAAUUCCACGUGUAGCGGUGAAAUGCGUAGAGAUGUGGAGGAACACCAGUGGCGAAGGCGACUCUCUGGUCUGUAACUGACGCUGAGGAGCGAAAGCGUGGGGAGCGAACAGGAUUAGAUACCCCAGUAGUCCCUGUCUCUUAUAC